Molecule: ribosomal RNA, 639 nt
Filed under: uncultured Thermomicrobium sp.
Lineage: Bacteria; Pseudomonadati; Thermomicrobiota; Thermomicrobia; Thermomicrobiales; Thermomicrobiaceae
Description: bacterial SSU rRNA
Rfam family: Bacterial small subunit ribosomal RNA
Source: RNAcentral
AGAGUUUGAUCAUGGCUCAGGAUGAACGCUGGCGGCGUGCCUAAUACAUGCAAGUCGAACGAAGAGUGUAGCAAUAUGCUCUUAGUGGCGAACGGGUGAGUAACACGUGGGUGACCUACCCCAAAGUGUGGAAUAACUCCUCGAAAGAGGUGCUAAUACCGCAUGUGGUCCUAGAGAUUAGAGGCUUAGGGACUAAAGACUUCGGUCGCUUUGGGAGGGGCCCGCGGCCCAUCAGCUAGUUGGUGAGGUAAUGGCUCACCAAGGCAGUGACGGGUAGGGGACUUGAGAGGGUGACCCCCCACACUGGAACUGAAACACGGUCCAGACACCUACGGGUGGCAGCAGUAGGGAAUAUUGGUCAAUGGGCGAAAGCCUGAACCAGCAACGCCGCGUGCGCGAUGAAGGCCUUCGGGUCGUAAAGCGCUUUUGGGAGGGAUGAAAAUGACAGUACCUCCCGAAUAAGGAUCGGCUAACUACGUGCCAGCAGCCGCGGUAAUACGGAGGGAGCUAGCGUUGUUCGGAAUUACUGGGCGUAAAGAGUACGUAGGCGGUGAUUCAAGUCAGAGGUGAAAGCCUGGAGCUCAACUCCAGAACUGCCUUUGAAACUAGAUCGCUAGAAUUGUGGAGAGGUUAGUGGAA